GAUCGCCCAAUCGGGGGUCGACAAGUCCAGGAGGCGCCCUGUGCUCUUGGCGUCUCCUUGUAUCCAUGUUGCUUGUAAGGAGGAUAUGGUUAUGAGGA
This 98-nucleotide small RNA is filed under the name Brucella anthropi ATCC 49188. RNAcentral describes it as "Ochrobactrum anthropi ATCC 49188 Repression of heat shock gene expression (ROSE) element". It matches the Rfam family "Repression of heat shock gene expression (ROSE) element". Rfam says of the family: This family represents a 5' UTR cis-regulatory element found in heat shock mRNAs and is known as the ROSE (repression of heat shock gene expression) element. Lineage: Bacteria; Pseudomonadati; Pseudomonadota; Alphaproteobacteria; Hyphomicrobiales; Brucellaceae. The record is from Rfam by way of RNAcentral.